AAGUAGUUUACUUAUGUAGGAUUAAUUAAUAAAUGAGAUCACAUUUUUUUAAUCCCGUUCGUAGGGAAAGAAUAAAACUUGGGCUCGAGCAACCCAUUUCAGACCUAAUUUUUAGACCUAACCCAUAAUUCCCAAGCCCAUAAUUCCUAAGCCCAUACCCCUAACCUAAUUCCUACCCCUAUAUAAUAGUACUUAAUGCCUAAAUAAGGACUACGCCUAAAACACUCUGCAAAAAAAUGGAAUCCGCCGUUUUCCCAUAACAAAAAAUGACAACCUUCAUUUAAAGUCCAUGGUCUUCUUCAUUCCAGAUAGCUCUCAGCAGACUAACGCCUAAGAGCUUGAACAGUCGAAAACAUAACAACCAACAGUAGGAGCCAUUUUUGUCCUCCUGGAAUGUGAUUGGCAAAGAUCGAUCUCCACCUCCCUCCAAAUCGGAAAAACCAGCAACACCCCAAAAUCUGGGAACGAAACACAUACACAAACAAAGAACGGACGACCUCACCUCUCUCAAUUCCAAGAGAACACCCUUCAGCCGUGAUUUCGAAAUCUUGGACCCUACCAAAAUCGACCAGCAACACGCCCGAAACAGAGUAAAACGCAGAACAAAAACGGUCCAGAAAGCACCGUCCAAACAGAGCAAAUCAGAGGUGCCGACUCGAGGUCCGUUUCUGAAUUUUGCCGCGAUUCCGGCGAGUUUCGAAGUUUGGAUCGUAGUUCCGUCCAGAGGUCGUCGGAUUCAGUUCUUUUGUUUUCCAUAUCCUGGAGUUAGACCGAGCUGAGCUCUUGAAGAUUGUUCCAACUACUGUCUAGACCUGAGGUAGAGCUGCAUCCUGAUCGCAUUUCUUGGUGUCUCCUUCUAUCAUUUCAUUAUUGUAUUUCAUUCAGACAAUGUAUCGUAAUUUCAAACUUUUACUUAUAUAUUAGAGCUCAUGACUUAGUGUUGCCAGUUUUUGGGGUAUUUAUGUAUUGACUAUGUUCUUAAUUAUGGUUAUUUAGUUUUGGAUUCAAUUCUUA
Long non-coding RNA from Nicotiana attenuata, 1014 nucleotides. RefSeq lists it as uncharacterized. The record is from RefSeq and is a predicted model, not a curated record. The transcript is spliced from 2 exons. NCBI's taxonomy places the organism in Eukaryota, Viridiplantae, Streptophyta, Magnoliopsida, Solanales, Solanaceae.